Molecule: ribosomal RNA, 119 nt
Filed under: Pteropus alecto (black flying fox)
Lineage: Eukaryota; Metazoa; Chordata; Mammalia; Chiroptera; Pteropodidae
Source: RNAcentral
GUCUACAGCCAUGCUACCCUGAACAAGCCCAAUCCCGUCUGAUCUCGGAAGCUAAGCAGGGUCAAGCUCGGUUAGUACCUGGGUGGGAGACCACUUAGGAAGACCAGGUGCUGUAGGCA